UAUCCCACCAUGCUGGUUGGCUAAAAUCACUUCCUCCUAACUGCUUUUAGCUGACCAUACUUCCCCAACUGACUAUACACGAAACAAAAUGGAUAACAACUUUCCAGAAAUCGACGACAGUGACAUAGAAGUUAUAGAUGCAGUGUACGUUGUGCUCAUUUUCAUGAUGGUAUUUUUAUGACCAAAGGAACAACGGUGACUGGAACCAGGGACUAAAGGAAAAUACUUUAUACAUGGACAGUGUAAAACAAGAGCAGGAACAAGCAAAUGCUUUAAAUAAAAUUGCCAAUGAUGGAGACAAACUCCCAGAACCAAAAUAUGAUGAGAUGCACCC
Molecule: long non-coding RNA, 334 nt
Organism: Xenopus laevis (African clawed frog)
Lineage: Eukaryota; Metazoa; Chordata; Amphibia; Anura; Pipidae
Exons: 3
Source: RefSeq, a predicted model, not a curated record